RNAcentral lists this ribosomal RNA (916 nucleotides) under uncultured organism. Its description in RNAcentral is "SSU rRNA". It matches the Rfam family "Bacterial small subunit ribosomal RNA", at positions 546 to 1471 of the family's 1533-position model. The record is from RNAcentral.
CGGAUUUACUGGCGUAAAAGGGCGUGUAGGCGGUUUUCUAAGUCCGGGGCUAAAGACCAGGGCUCAACCCUGGGUUUGCCUUGGAUACUGGAAAGCUCGACGGCUGGAGGGGGCAGCGGAAUUUCCGGAGUAGCGGUGAAAUGCGCAGAUACCGGAAGGAACGCCAAUAGCGAAGGCAGCUGCCUGGACAGUACGUGACGCUGAGGCGCGAAAGCGUGGGGAGCAAACCGGAUUAGAUACCCGGGUAGUCCACGCCCUAAACGAUGAGUGCUGGGUGUCCGGCGUUUGCCGGGUGCCGAAGCUAACGCGUUAAGCACUCCGCCUGGGAAGUACGGUCGCAAGACUGAAACUCAAAGGAAUUGACGGGGGCCCGCACAAGCGGUGGAGCAUGUGGUUUAAUUCGAAGGAACGCGAAGAACCUUACCAGGCCUUGACAUCCUAGGAACCCUGAUGAAAGUCGGGGGUGCCCGCAAGGGAACCUAGAGACAGGUGCUGCAUGGCUGUCGUCAGCUCGUGUCGUGAGAUGUUGGGUUAAGUCCCGCAACGAGCGCAACCCUUGUCCUUAGUUGCUAACGGGUAAGCCGAGCUCUCUAGGGAGACUGCCCGCGAAAGCGGGAGGAAGGCGGGGAUGACGUCUAGUCCGCAUGGCCCUUACGGCCUGGGCGACACACGUGCUACAAUGCCCGGCACAGAGCGCUGCCACAUCGCAAGAUGGAGCUAAUCGCCUAAAUCCGGGCUCAGUUCGGAUUGGGGUCUGCAACCCGACCCCAUGAAGCUGGAAUCGCUAGUAAUCGCGGAUCAGCCAUGCCGCGGUGAAUACGUUCCCGGGCCUUGUACACACCGCCCGUCACGCCAUGGGAGUGGGUUUCACCUGAAGUCGCUGGGAGCCGCAGGCAGGCGCCGAGGGUGGGGCUCA